This is a long non-coding RNA of Rattus norvegicus (Norway rat), 789 nucleotides long. RefSeq lists it as uncharacterized. The transcript has 3 exons. NCBI's taxonomy places the organism in Eukaryota, Metazoa, Chordata, Mammalia, Rodentia, Muridae. The record is from RefSeq and is marked validated.
UCGUUGCUGGCAGGAAGGCAAAAUGGCGCAGUCUGGCUGGCAUUCCCCUCAGGAAUUCCACACAAAGUAAGCAUCCUGUGACCGGAUGAUCCAGCAGCCAUGCCCCUUGGCACUUAUUUAAACGAACCAAAAUCUCAAAGCACACGAAACCUCAACCAACAUGUUUGGAAUAACUUUAUCCAAACUGCCAACACUCAGUAAAUAGUCAGGUCACCUUUAGCUGACGAAUGGACGACCCAUCUCUCCAGACAAUGGAAUAUCAUCCGGUGCUAAGAAGAAAUGACAUUCAAGUCACGGUGACCGGGGAACACUUGUGUACAUAUUAUUAAGUGAAGAUGAUCGCAGAGCAUCACUUCCGACUGUGUGAGCCUCUGGCUAACACAAUGCUUUGAAGAUGGCAACAAGAUGAGUGUUUGCUGGGGAGCCAUGGAACCCUUCUAUGUGGGUCAGGUCAUCCAAAGCCAUGCAGUAGAUGAGUUCAGGUGACAACAUUUUAUCCUUGUGUGUUCAUUGGCUGGAACGGCAGGGCGGGAAAGUAUAGAGCUCAGGAAAGUCAGGAGUAUGGGAAACUCACUGAAUAGAGAGUCCAGUUUGUGCUUCCCAUGUCAUCAGUCUGGGGCCAUGCACUAGAACAUGGUAGGCCUGCCGGACCACACCCUUAGAGGAAGACUAACCAUCCUUACCAACAGUCCAUAGCACCUCAGACGUCAGCACCCAGCGUCUGCUCCCGCUACUGUGUCCGGCACGGUGGAUUCUCAUCCCUUUGGAACCAAAAGCCUAGUACACCCU